GCCGGAAGCGGCCGGGCCGGGCCGGGCCUGGGGGGGGGGGGGCUGCGUCCGGGCGGCUCGGGGCCGCGGCCCGGCUCGGCCCGCCUCCCCGGAGUCCGGGUCCCUGCGGCCUGGGGACGCACAGCCAGAGCGCCCGAGCCGGGACCGCCGUGCUGUCUCGUCCUUGGAAGACGUGGACGCUGCGAGUCCCCGUGUCCCGCGCCCUGAGGGACCCCCAAACCGGCUCACUAAGCCCUCCCCUAAUCCUUGGGGCCGGGAGACACACCUUCGGGGGCGUGGAGGAUGCCGAGGGGCGGCAGGAGUGUUCCCUGAAAGAUAACCCUCGUUAUCGUCCUCUCUGACCAUUGGAGCUGGAAUGGCUGCAGUGUUACUUCCACUGGCUCCUGAAGAGCCAGAGGGCCUCUUCAGAGUAGACAACAAAAAAGGUCCUGCCAAGGUUCAGGGAUCUGGCCCACAGGAGAGCAGCCCAAACAGCCAGGAGCUAUUCCGCCAGCGCUUCCGACAGUUCUGCUACAAGGAGACUCCUGGACCCCGUGAGGCCUUGAGCCAGCUCUGGGUGUUCUGCUGUGAGUGGUUAAGACCUGAGAUACACAGCAAGGAGCAGAUGUUGGACUUGCUGGUGCUGGAGCAGUUUCUGACCAUCCUGCCCGAGGAGCUGCAGGCCUGGGUGCGGGAGCAGCACCCAGAGAGCGGGGAGGAGGCCGUGGCUGCGCUGGAAGAUCUGGAGAAGGAAUUGGAUGAACCAGACCAGCAGGUUUCAACCCAGACCUGUGCACAGGAAGUGCUUUCUGAGACAUCAGAGCCUCUGGACCCAGCUAAGGAAGCAACAUCUCUCCAGCCUCAACCCAUGGAGAUCCAGCUUACGGGUGAAUCUCAGGACCCUCAGCACCAACAGGAUUGUGAUGAUGUGAUCGGAAUUGGGAAAGGGGAACUGAUUCAAAAGCAGGAGUUAACUAUAGAUACGGAGUCUCCAAAAAAGUCAUCUGGCCAAAUGAAUGGAAAGGUCCCUGAAUGUGGAGAGACCCAAGAACAGGAAGGAUGGACAAAAAGAUAUCAGAGAAACACUUCAACUGAGAAAAGAUACAAGUGUGAUGAAUGUGGGAGAAGAUUCACUCAAAACUCAAGCCUCAUUAGACAUAAAAGAAUCCACACUGGAGAAAGACCCUAUUCAUGUAAUGUGUGCGGCAAAACUUUCAUCCAGAGCUCACAACUUAUUGACCAUCAGAGAAUACAUAACCGGUUAAAACCCUAUCAGUGUGAUGAGUGUGGAAAAGCCUUUUAUUACAGUUCACACCUUGUUCAGCAUCAGAGGAUCCACACUGGAGAAAAACCUUUCCAAUGCAAUGAGUGUGGGAAAGCUUUUCACUACAGCUCAGGCCUUGUUCGACACCAGAGGACCCACACAGGAGAGAAGCCAUACCAGUGCAGAGACUGUGGGAAGGCUUUCUGUCUGAGCUCACAUCUGAUUCAGCAUCAGAGAGUCCACACUGGGGAGAAGCCGUACCACUGCAGCGAGUGUGGGAAAAGCUUCAGCCAGAGCUCGGGCCUCUUCCAUCACCAGAGAAUCCACAGUGGGGAGAAACCCUAUGAGUGUGAUGAGUGUGGGAAGGCCUUCAGCCACAGCUCAGCCCUGGUGGGACACCAGCGCAUCCACAGUGGAGAGAGGCCUUAUGAGUGUGACGUAUGCGGGAAAGCUUUCAGUUACAGCUCACAUCUUCUGGGACACCGAAGAAUCCACACUGGAGAGAAGCCCUAUGAGUGUGACGUAUGUGGGAAAGCUUUCCGGCGGAGCUCACACCUCAUUGUACAUCAGCGGAUCCACACUGGAGAGAAGCCCUGGUGAUUGUCGGCGCUCAUUCCUGCAGAACGCCAGAAAAGCACAGCUGGCAGGGGACGCCCCCAUGACAGCGACAUGGGGAAUUCUGUGAUCACCACUGCAGUUUGCGCAGUCAUUUGAGAAUACUUCCGGAGCUGAGACAGAGCCCCAUCCAACAGCUACUACUGUUGCUUGCAACACUUUUCCUUGAGAUUUUUCUGGAGCCAUAAUACCUCCUUUGGUUAGUUUCAGCUGCACUCCUUUCAACUAAAACUCCAUCGAAGAGGGGAAGAAACUUUUAAAAAAUGCUUGCCUUGCCAUGACUCCAGCUGCCCCCGUUCUUACAGCCAGGUGCUCCAAGGCUCUGGCAAGCUGAUUGUGUGAAGUUGAUGGCAGCCUGAAGCUGGGGGCAUACCUGAAGAAUAUUCUGGACUCCUUAAGAAGUUCAGGACCUGGAGCAGGGUUUGUGUUUGGAACCUGGUGAGAAAAUUUGACACAAAAAUUAGAUGAGGAGGGAGAAUCACGCUGGUGAGUGCACUGCACUGAAGGAGGCGGCAGGGCACAGUUGAGCAUUGUCUGCAGUUUUAAUUUGCUCAGCAGGCUAUGGGGACGUUUUAUGCCACAGUCAAGGGAAGGGGCUGGCUUUCCAUUAUGUACUUCUGAUGGAGAGAAGAGCAGAGGUUAUGCUGUUUUUAAAUUUCUCUCCCAGAGAGGACAGUUCUCUAAAGCUGGCUUACUUGGAAGUUACUCAUUUCUCCGUUUCCUAAAUGACCUUUCCAGGUUUAUUUUUUAAUUUUUAAAAAAAAAUUUUUUUUAUUAUGGUAUGUUAAUCCCCAUACAUUACAUCAUUAGUUUUAGAUGUAGUGUUCCAUGAUUCAUUGUUUGUGCAUUACACCCAGUGCUCCAUGCAGAACGUGCCCUCCUCAAUACCCACCACCAGGCUAACCCAUCCUCCCACCCCCCUCCCUCUAGAACCCUCAGUUUGUUUCUCAGAGUCCAUCGUCUCUCAUGGUUCGUCUACCCCUCCGAUUUCCCCCCCUUCAUUUUUCCCUUCCUGCUAUCUUUUUUUUUUUUUUUAACAUAUCAUGUAUUAUUUGUUUCAGAGGUACAGGUCUGUGAUUCAACAGUCUUACACAAUUCACAGUGCUCACCAUAGCACAUAGCCUCUCCAGUGUCUAUCACCCAGCCACCCCAUCCCUCCCACCCCCCACCACUCCAGCAACCCUCAGUUUGUUUCCUGAGAUUAAGAAUUCCUCAUAUCAGGGCGCCUGGGUGGCUCAGAUGGUUAAGCGUCUGCCUUCGGCUCAGGUCAUGAUCCCAGGGUCCUGGGAUCGAGUCCCGCAUCGGGCUCCCUGCUCCUUGGGAGCCUGCUUCUCCCUCUGCCUCUCUCUCUCUCUCUGUCUCUCAUGAAUAAAUAAAUAAAAAUCUUUAAAAAAAAAAGAAUUCCUCAUAUUAGUGAGGUCAUAUGAUACAUGUCUUUCUCUUAUUGACUUAUUUUGCUUAGCAUAAUACCCUCUAGUUCCAUCCAUGUCGUUGCAAAUGGCAAGAUUUCAUUCCUUUUGAUGGCUGCAUAAUAUUCCAUUGUAUACAGAGCCUGGGUGGCUCAGUCGUUAAGCGUCUGCCUUCAGCUCGGGUCAUGAUCCCAGGGUCCUGGGAUCGAGCCCCGCAUCGGGCUCCCUGCUCGGUGGGAAGCCUGCUUCUCCCUCUCCCCCUGCUUGUGUUCCCUCUCUCACUGUGUCUCUGUCAAAGAAAUAAAUAAAUCUUUAAAAAAAAAACACACAGGGGCGCCUGGGUGGCUCAGUUGGUUAAGCGACUGCCUUCGGCUCAGGUCAUGAUCCUGGAGUCCCAGGAUCGAGUCCCGCAUCGGGCUCCCUGCUCAGCAGAGAGUCUGCUUCUCCCUCUGACCCUCCUCCCUCUCAUGUUCUCUGUCUCUCGUUGUCUCUCUCACAAAUAAAUAAAAUCUUAAGAAAAAAAAAUUAAAAAAAAAAAAAGAACACACACACACUUAAGAUAAUUAUUCUACACAAACAAUCAUAUACUGUUUUGUAACUUACUUUUUUUAUUCAAUAUGCCUUUGGCAUCUUUUAAUUUUUAGCUUUUAAAAAAGUUGGGGAUAUAAAAAAUCUAAAUUCCCAAAUGUGGACAUUUGGGUUUCCCCAAUUUAAAUAAACAAUGUUUCUUUGUAUAUGUUUGAACAUUUGUGUAUUUUUUUAAAGAUUUAUUUAUUUAUUUUAGAGCUCAAGAGCUGGGGGAGGGGCAGAGGGAGAGAGAUCUCAAGCAGACUCCCUGAUGAGUGCAGAGCCCCAAGUGGGACUCAAUCUCACGACCAUGAGAUCAUGACAUGAGCGAAAAUCAAGAGUUGGUGGCUCAAAUGACUGAGCCACCCAGUCGCCCUUUGUGUAAGUAUUUCUAUAUAAGUAAUUCCAAGAAGCUAAGCUGUUGUAUCAAGAGGUACGGACUUUUAAGGUCUUGCCUUCUGAAAAUAUACAACCCAAGAGUGCCAGUAUUUUCACACACUUUCCAAUACUAAAUAUGACCAAUCUUUUUAUCUUUAGUAAUCUGAACAAUUUAAAACAUUUUUGUUAUUGUUUUAAUUUAAAUUCUUUAUUCGUGAACUUGAGCACCUUUUCAUGUUGUCUGUUUGUGUUCUAUAAAUGCUUACCUAAGUUUGUCAGUUUUGCCAUUGGCUUGGUGGUAUUUUUCUUAAUUUUUUGUAAGAGGUCUUUGUGUAUUAGGAAUAUCAGUCCUGUGUCUUUUAGAUGGGUGACAUAUUUUACGCUGAGCUUAUAAGUUAGUUUUUAUUUUUUUCAUUUAAAAUUCCAAAUUUUUACAUCACCAGUUCCAUCUGUCUUUUCCUUUAUGGGUUUUCAGUUAUAUGUCUUUAGGGUUUUAUGUCAUGCUUAGAACUCUCCCCACUCCGAAGUAGCAAUAGCUUCCCAGCCUAUCUCCCUGCUCUGUCCUUGUCCAAUCCCCUUCAUUUACAACUUUAUUUUUAACACAGCAGCCAGAAAACUCUUUUCGAUACCUGUAUCUGAACAUGUUACUCUGCUGCUCAGAAAUUCUGAAUGACUUCCCAUCUUGGAGUAAAAAAACAAAUGUAUCUUUGAACUCACCCGAGACCCUCCUAUCUUUCCCUCUCUCUACUCCCAACACCCUUUUGUUGCCUUAGCUCCAGACACACAAGCCUCCUUCCUGUGCCUAGAAUAUUUCAAACACACUCCACUCCAUGCUGUGCAUGUGCUAUCCCUCUCCCUGAAACAGCUUUACCCUUGAUGAUGCACUCGCUCGUCUCCCUCAGUCUUUGCUCAAAUGUCAGUGUGCUAGUGAGGUCCUCCAUGACCACCCUAUUUAAAAUUGCAUUACUUCAUUCUCACCCCAAACUUUGCAUUUCCUUCAUUUUAUCCUUGGCACUAACAUCCACCAUCUAAUAUACUAUAUAUUUUUCUUGUUUAUUGCCUGCCUCCCUACCUUAUACGCAGAAGCACACAUACUAAAUUACAAAUUCCAUGAAGUCAAGAGUAUUAUUUUCCUUUAAACUAUAGUUCCAGCUUCCAGAACAGUGCCUGGCAUAGCAGGUGAAUAAUCAAUAUUUGUGUAAGAAAGAGAAAGAGGGAGAAAAAAAAACUAAGCAUUUCUGACCCAUCAGAUUGGCAAACAUCAAAAUAUCUUAUGCUAUUGUGUUGACAGGUAUAGGUAAACAGGAACAUCUCUAGUAGGUUCUAUGGUUGGUAAUUUGGCUCUAACAAAAGUACAAAUGUCCCUACUCUGUACUCUAGUAAUUCUAUUUCUAGGAAUAUAUACUAUGUAAAUACCCUUACACAUGAGAGACACAUGUUUACAGUAAUUUGUUGCAGCAGCGUUUCAAAAAGAAGAUUGGAAACAACCUGCCUGUCAACGGGGUAAUUAUUAAUGAAGGAUGGCACAUACAAUGAAUACUAUGCAAUUGUUUAAAAAAAAAGGCAAGAUCGAGGAAACCCUUUGUGCACAAUCUCCAAUAUCAGUUGCUAGGAGGAAGCAAGCAAGGCGCAGAAAUGCUACCAUUUGUGCAGGACGACAGCGAGGGUGACAUGUACCCGCCUGACGUGUGUACGGAACAGUGCGUGUGCCCGAAAACCACAGGCUGCCAAAAUCAGAUGCUGAGGACGCUUACUCUUUUCAAAUAUUGAGCUGUGUGAAUGCUUUACUCUUUCGUACUACGCUUCUAAUAAGUAAACCUAAAAAAUUCGGAGAGGGGAAAAGCUUCAGAAAAAGAACAAAGAGGGCGUGCCCGCGGGCCCGCGCACAGCCUGCUCGUCCACGCGGUCCUCCGCGGGCGGGGCCACCGAGGCGAGGCUUCCUAGAGCGGCCGGAAGUGCCGGCGGCCCGCGGCGGGCGCCCAUUGGUCGGCCGGAGCCCAGCCUUUGUUCCGGCCGCCGGGAGGGGGCCGCCGCGGCGCGUGAGUGCGCCCUGCGUCCGUCGCCUCCGCAGGGGAGGACGAGGGCCGAGCCUCCGGGGCGGACGGGGAGAAGGCGAGGCGGCGCCUGCCCCGCAGCCGCCCAAGUGCGGGCUGCGCCUCUCGGGCGUGCCGUCGGCGAGCCUCCGCGCAGCGCCGUGGACACCUGGCGGUUCUCGAGGGCUGACGAGGGCCGGCCGCUCGUCAGCCCCGCGGGAACGGAGUCUGACAGACGGGAGCUGCCGCGCGGGCCGGCCGAGGGCGCUUGCGUCCGUGAGCGCGCAGAUGUGAGUCGGCGCCCUGCUCGCCCUGGCUCCCUCUUUAGCUGUGUCUAUGCUCACGGCGGCUUUUGUCAUCUCCGCGGUAACGACGUCCCCGAAGCACGGUUCCGAGAGGUUCUCCUUGAAUCCGCCC
RNA transcript from Mirounga angustirostris (Northern elephant seal), 6662 nucleotides. It is a transcript of the gene named zinc finger and SCAN domain-containing protein 16-like, with no coding region annotated. NCBI's taxonomy places the organism in Eukaryota, Metazoa, Chordata, Mammalia, Carnivora, Phocidae. The record is from RefSeq and is a predicted model, not a curated record. The transcript is spliced from 6 exons.